Molecule: transfer RNA, 66 nt
Filed under: Songmachilis xinxiangensis
Lineage: Eukaryota; Metazoa; Arthropoda; Insecta; Archaeognatha; Machilidae
Description: tRNA-Thr
Rfam family: tRNA
About the family: Transfer RNA (tRNA) molecules are approximately 80 nucleotides in length. Their secondary structure includes four short double-helical elements and three loops (D, anti-codon, and T loops).
Source: RNAcentral
GUUUUAAUAGUUUAAUACAAAACUUUGGUCUUGUAAAUCAAAAAUAAUUAAGAAAAUUUUAAAACA